UUCCAAAGUGUUGAGUUCAGUUCAGGGCAUAUUCCCUGCUCUGGUAAUUAAACUUUGGAAAAUGGAAAGUGGCUAGAGAAAAUGAUUGGAUAGAAAAUGUUAUUCUAUUCAUUUAUCUCUAGCCUACAAAU
Molecule: small nucleolar RNA, 131 nt
Organism: Cavia aperea (Brazilian guinea pig)
Lineage: Eukaryota; Metazoa; Chordata; Mammalia; Rodentia; Caviidae
Source: Ensembl